This 484-nucleotide ribosomal RNA is filed under the name uncultured bacterium. Its description in RNAcentral is "bacterial SSU rRNA". It matches the Rfam family "Bacterial small subunit ribosomal RNA", at positions 1 to 486 of the family's 1533-position model. The record is from RNAcentral.
UAGGGUUUGAUCCUGGCUCAGAUUGAACGCUGGCGGCAGGCCUAACACAUGCAAGUCGAGCGGAUGAAGGGAGCUUGCUCCUGGAUUCAGCGGCGGACGGGUGAGUAAUGCCUAGGAAUCUGCCUGGUAGUGGGGGAUAACGUCCGGAAACGGGCGCUAAUACCGCAUACGUCCUGAGGGAGAAAGUGGGGGAUCUUCGGACCUCACGCUAUCAGAUGAGCCUAGGUCGGAUUAGCUAGUUGGUGGGGUAAAGGCCUACCAAGGCGACGAUCCGUAACUGGUCUGAGAGGAUGAUCAGUCACACUGGAACUGAGACACGGUCCAGACUCCUACGGGAGGCAGCAGUGGGGAAUAUUGGACAAUGGGCGAAAGCCUGAUCCAGCCAUGCCGCGUGUGUGAAGAAGGUCUUCGGAUUGUAAAGCACUUUAAGUUGGGAGGAAGGGCAGUAAGUUAAUACCUUGCUGUUUUGACGUUACCAACAGAA